UCAUGGCAAAAUGCAUGGUGCACUGAGCUCU
Molecule: non-coding RNA, 31 nt
Filed under: Rattus norvegicus (Norway rat)
Lineage: Eukaryota; Metazoa; Chordata; Mammalia; Rodentia; Muridae
Source: RNAcentral